CCUACGGGGGGCUGCAGUGGGGAAUAUUUGACAAUGGGGGCAACCCUGAUCCAGCCAUGCCGCGUGUGUGAAGAAGGCCCUCGGGUUGUAAAGCACUUUCAGUGAGGAAGAACGCCUGGUGGUUAAUACCCAUCAGGAAAGACAUCACUCACAGAAGAAGCACCGGCUAACUCCGUGCCAGCAGCCGCGGUAAUACGGAGGGUGCGAGCGUUAAUCGGAAUUACUGGGCGUAAAGCGCGCGUAGGUGGCUUGAUAAGCCGGUUGUGAAAGCCCCGGGCUCAACCUGGGAACGGCAUCCGGAACUGUCAAGCUAGAGUGCAGGAGAGGAAGGUAGAAUUCCCGGUGUAGCGGUGAAAUGCGUAGAGAUCGGGAGGAAUACCAGUGGCGAAGGCGGCCUUCUGGACUGACACUGACACUGAGGUGCGAAAGCGUGGGUAGCAAACAGGAUUAGAUACCCGUGUAGUC
This 465-nucleotide ribosomal RNA is filed under the name Vreelandella stevensii. RNAcentral's name for it is "partial 16S ribosomal RNA". It matches the Rfam family "Bacterial small subunit ribosomal RNA", at positions 338 to 795 of the family's 1533-position model. The record is from RNAcentral. Lineage: Bacteria; Pseudomonadati; Pseudomonadota; Gammaproteobacteria; Oceanospirillales; Halomonadaceae.